UGAUGACUAACUUCUCUGCUUGGUGGGCC
Molecule: non-coding RNA, 29 nt
Filed under: Rattus norvegicus (Norway rat)
Lineage: Eukaryota; Metazoa; Chordata; Mammalia; Rodentia; Muridae
Source: RNAcentral